AACGAACGCUGGCGGCGUGCUUAACACAUGCAAGUCGAACGAGAAAGGGGCUUCGGCUCCGAGUAGAGUGGCGCACGGGUGAGUAACACGUGGGUAACCUGCCUCUAAGAUUGGGAUAACUCGUCGAAAGAUGAGCUAAUACCGGAUAAGACCACAGUUCCUGCGGGAACAGGGGUCAAAGGUAGCCUCUGCUUGCAAGCUAUCACUUAGAGAUGGGCCUGCGCACCAUUAGCUAGUUGGUAGGGUAACGGCCUACCAAGGCAAAGAUGGUUAGCUGGUCUGAGAGGAUGAUCAGCCACACUGGAACUGAGACACGGUCCAGACUCCUACGGGAGGCAGCAGUGGGGAAUAUUGCGCAAUGGGCGAAAGCUUGACGCAGCAACGCCGCGUGAGUGAUGAAGGCCUUCGGGUCGUACAGCUCUGUCGGGAGGAACGAAUGCUCCUGAGGUUAACAGCCUCGGGAGGUGACGGUACCUCCAAAGGAAGCACCGGCUAACUCUGUGCCAGCCGCCGCGGUAA
This 519-nucleotide ribosomal RNA is filed under the name uncultured bacterium. RNAcentral's name for it is "partial 16S ribosomal RNA". It matches the Rfam family "Bacterial small subunit ribosomal RNA", at positions 29 to 523 of the family's 1533-position model. The record is from RNAcentral.